RNAcentral lists this ribosomal RNA (547 nucleotides) under uncultured Pseudomonas sp. RNAcentral's name for it is "bacterial SSU rRNA". It matches the Rfam family "Bacterial small subunit ribosomal RNA", at positions 380 to 919 of the family's 1533-position model. The record is from RNAcentral. Lineage: Bacteria; Pseudomonadati; Pseudomonadota; Gammaproteobacteria; Pseudomonadales; Pseudomonadaceae.
AGCCUGAUCCAGCCAUGCCGCGUGUGUGAAGAAGGUCUUCGGAUUGUAAAGCACUUUAAGUUGGGAGGAAGGGCAGUAAGUUAAUACCUUGCUGUUUUGACGUUACCGACAGAAUAAGCACCGGCUAACUUCGUGCCAGCAGCCGCGGUAAUACGAAGGGUGCAAGCGUUAAUCGGAAUUACUGGGCGUAAAGCGCGCGUAGGUGGUUCGUUAAGUUGGAUGUGAAAGCCCCGGGCUCAACCUGGGAACUGCAUCCAAAACUGGCGAGCUAGAGUACGGUAGAGGGUGGUGGAAUUUCCUGUGUAGCAGUGAAAUGCGUAAAUAUGGGAAGGAACACCGGUGGCGAAGGCGACCCCCUGGACCUAUACUGACACUCAGGAGCGAAAGCGUGGGGAGCAAACAGGAUUAGAUACCCUGGUAGUCCACGCCGUAAACGAUGUCAACUAGCCGUUGGGAUCCUUGAGAUUUUAGUGGCGCAGCUAACGCAUUAAGUUGACCGCCUGGGGAGUACGGCCGCAAGGUUAAACCUCAAAUGAAUUGACGGGGG